This 218-nucleotide long non-coding RNA is filed under the name Jatropha curcas. RNAcentral's name for it is "long non-coding RNA (JCUR_LNC000447)". Lineage: Eukaryota; Viridiplantae; Streptophyta; Magnoliopsida; Malpighiales; Euphorbiaceae. The record is from RNAcentral.
GGAUGUACAUUCUGAUUGAGAUUAGAGGCCAACGGCAAGCUGCUCACAACAUCACUUUGAGUAGGUAAUAAAAUAGGUGAAUUAGAAAUUUCAGUACCUGAACCAGAAUCCGAGAUGUUACUGUGUUCGGGUUGCUACUGAACUAGCGAAGGAGAAGCCGAGGAAUCAAUGUUCACAUAAUUUGGUUGCCCAAUACUGUCAAGACCUGUAGACAUUGG